UUGUGGAAAACCGGAGGUAUACAGGAGUAAAGCCCCAUAAAGCAGUGCUCCAGCUGCUCCCACCGCUAAUCUGUUCCCGUUAUCGGAGCUCAAAGAAAAGAGGACAGUUGCCAGCUCCGGAGAAUCGGGAGCGGUGCCAGCUGACGACACGCUGUGAUCGGCAGCCGCCUGGUCUGGGUGAGGUCUGCUAUCAUGUGAUGAGCGCUUGAUAGCGAGGGAACGGGAGGAAAGCACCCACUCCAGAGAACACCUACGUCUAGUUACCCAACAAAGCCAUACAAGAAACAAAGCAGAAGUUGAUGCGCUAUUAUUUAUAGCCUUGAAAUACUUGCUUGGAAGUGUCUUUGAUUCAAGAAUACCCAUCAAAUAGUUAUUCUGGGCACGAACGUGGAUUCUACAGAGCAGCCAGGAUUUCAGAACCUGGAGAGAAUUACUGCAGCUGAUGAGCUGGGAAUCAAAAUACCCUUUGGUGUAAGACUUAAAAAAUCACCUCUCCACCCCAUAUGAAGUUAUCAGGAAUUGCUCUAUUAUUUCUGUCAUUAACCAACCAUUCCUCCCCCCACCUUUGCACCAGUUCCUCUCAAGUGCAGCCAGAGAUUAUCAAACCCAGCGAUAGCCUUUCAACAGCUCGGCCAGUUGAAAAAUCUCUCAAGUUCUGCUGCUAUCACCGUUGCGUGAGCUGACGUCAGGCUGUUGUUUACUGGAGAUGGGAUGGUGCCAAUUUCCACUGAGCUGAAGACAGCCGUGUCCAGCCUCUUUUGGCUGUGCACAAGCAAGAGUUCCUUGUGUGUGCUUGCGUGCAUGUUAAGAGUGUGCACGCGUGUGUGUUUGUGGGCACACACAAAUGUGUGUGUGGGGAAAAGCAACUGGCUUUUAUUUUCCACUGAGAUACCAGAAAUAAAAACAACAACAGAAAAAAAAAAUACAGCACUUCAUCUUCUUUGAGAAAUAGAA
Long non-coding RNA from Corvus hawaiiensis (hawaiian crow), 954 nucleotides. RefSeq lists it as uncharacterized. The transcript has 3 exons. The record is from RefSeq and is a predicted model, not a curated record. NCBI's taxonomy places the organism in Eukaryota, Metazoa, Chordata, Aves, Passeriformes, Corvidae.